GACGAACGCUGGCGGCGUGCUUAACACAUGCAAGUCGAACGGAAAGGCCCUGCUUGCAGGGUGCUCGAGUGGCGAACGGGUGAGUAACACGUGGGUGAUCUGCCCCUUACGUUGGGAUAAGCCUGGGAAACUGGGUCUACUACUGGAUAGGACCAUGCUGUAGGUGGUGUGGUGGAAAGAUUAGUUUCGGUAAGGGAUGAGCUCGCGGCCUAUCAGCUUGUUGGUGGGGUAAUGGCCUACCAAGGCGUCGACGGGUAGCCGGCCUGAGAGGGUGGACGGCCACAUUGGGACUGAGACACGGCCCAGACGCCUACGGGAGGCGGCAGUGGGGAAUAGUGUACUAUGGGCGCAAGCCGGAUGCAGCGACGGCGCGUGGGGGAUGACGGCCUUCGGGUUGUAACCUACUUUCUGCCAUGAAGAAGCCCGUGUGGUGACGGUAGUGGAAGAAGAAGCACCGGCUAACUACGUG
RNAcentral lists this ribosomal RNA (469 nucleotides) under uncultured bacterium. RNAcentral's name for it is "partial 16S ribosomal RNA". It matches the Rfam family "Bacterial small subunit ribosomal RNA", at positions 28 to 507 of the family's 1533-position model. The record is from RNAcentral.